This 525-nucleotide ribosomal RNA is filed under the name uncultured bacterium. Its description in RNAcentral is "bacterial SSU rRNA". It matches the Rfam family "Bacterial small subunit ribosomal RNA", at positions 777 to 1301 of the family's 1533-position model. The record is from RNAcentral.
AAUAGAUACCCAGGUAGUCCACGCCGUAAACGAUGAGUGCUAAGUGUUAGAGGGUUUCCGCCCUUUAGUGCUGCAGCUAACGCAUUAAGCACUCCGCCUGGGGAGUACGGUCGCAAGACUGAAACUCAAAGGAAUUGACGGGGGCCCUCACAAGCGGUGGAGCAUGUGGUUUAAUUCGAAGCAACGCGAAGAACCUUACCAGGUCUUGACAUCCUCUGACAACUCUAGAGAUAGAGCGUUCCCCUUCGGGGGACAGAGUGACAGGUGGUGCAUGGUUGUCGUCAGCUCGUGUCGUGAGAUGUUGGGUUAAGUCCCGCAACGAGCGCAACCCUUGAUCUUAGUUGCCAGCAUUCAGUUGGGCACUCUAAGGUGACUGCCGGUGACAAACCGGAGGAAGUGGGGAUGACGUCAAAUCACCAUGCCCCUUAUGACCUGGGCUACACACGUGCUACAAUGGAUGGUACAAAGGGCUGCAAGACCGCGAGGUCAAGCCAAUCCCAUAAAACCAUUCUCAGUUCGGAUUGU